GCUGCCUUGAAGUGGAAUCCUGACCAACGACCACCGUCCCCUGAGUUGCAAUGUUACGCGUUUGUUACAAAAUGGGUGGAUUACAACGGUCAAGUGGUGUACAAUGAUCAAGUGUCUUAUCAAAACAAUCUUGAUUACAGCGCAAAUUUCCCCAACUUGCCACUUAAGUAAACGAACUUAAAAUGGCCGGUUCAUUUGUGUGCAGUUAAGCAACAACUAGCUAGUGUAAAAUGAAACUCAACAUUAGUUGUCAAGGGAUUUUUUAAGCUUAUUAAGUUGGUAUGAAGUAGACCCAAAAAGCUUUAUUUACUAUUUUUCAGGUUUUGAUAGUUUUAUUGUAGCUCUUGAACUUUAAACUAGUUAUGGCAAUAUAUAACAUUUUCGUAUGACGCUUUUUAUAAAAUGCAAUUGGCAAUUUAACAAAUUCAAGUAUUUUCUGAUUAAGUUGUACAUCAGAAACCUACUCUUGCAUAAUAUAUUGGUUUAAGGCCGUGUGUAAUUUAAAUGUCUUUUGACAACGUCGCCUCAAAAUCAUAUAGAGGCGGAUUGGCAACAGUUUACAACAUUUUCUAAGACUUAGAUUUUGAUGGAUCAUUACAACCAAUCUUUAUCAGUUGAUGCCACAAAUAUUGUAUGAAAAAGCUGCCUAAUCAUUGGUAAACAAGGUGGUAUCAUUUAAGUGCCAAAAAAGGCUAAAUUUCUUAAAUUUUUCAUUUAAGGUGGCUCUGAACCCACACUACAUAUUUUUUUUAACUUUGCAAAAAGUUGUAUCUUAUCAUGCUUAUCACAAUUCGAUAAGAAAAAAUGGGGUCACCGAAAUCGUUUUUGAGUUAUGAGCACUUUAAGCUAAAAUUAAGGGUGUUUUUAACAGGUCAUACUGUUGCUAUGGUAACCCAUUAUGCCAUAAGGGUCACUGUAAUUACUUUACCAAUGGCUGGGCAUUUACGUGAUACCAAUAUUGUAAUCUCUGUCACGUGAUAAACAUAGGCAAUAUUCAUCCGUCAAAGUACAGCUGUUGGAAACGUGCUGGACACUGUUCCCAGCCUCCUUAAAUAUUAAUCGCCACAAAAAAGGUCAAAAAGGAUGGUGCCGUCAAUUUUUAAUUAUAACUUACUUAUUCUGGCAAAAAAGCAACUUUAUUCUAUUAUUUUCAAGUAAAAUUCGAUUUCCUGGUAUAUAGCUCUAAGUUUUAUAUAUCUUCUUCGUGUUUGUAUUGAUUUUGUAGUUAGAUAUUUUUAUAGUAGCCUACUAAUCAAAUAAAGUAUGUGUGAAUGUAUAUGUAAGGUCUUCUUCAGCUCUCGCUGAAACUUCACUUUGCUGGCUGUGAAGCUUCCUUUAUUUAAACCAUCCCCCAACCAUCCCAGCGCUAACUGUCCACAGAAGCAGAAAAAAAUUAUGAAAGACUAGUAGU
This is a long non-coding RNA of Orbicella faveolata, 1411 nucleotides long. Lineage: Eukaryota; Metazoa; Cnidaria; Anthozoa; Scleractinia; Merulinidae. The record is from RefSeq and is a predicted model, not a curated record.